AUACGGAGGGGGCUAGCGUUGUUCGGAAUCACUGGGCGUAAAGCGCUCGUAGGCGGACCAGUCAGUCAGAGGUGAAAUCCCAAGGCUCAACCUUGGAACUGCCUUUGAUACUGCUGGUCUUGAGGUCGAGAGAGGUAAGUGGAAUUCCUAGUGUAGAGGUGAAAUUCGUAGAUAUUAGGAAGAACACCAGUGGCGAAGGCGGCUUACUGGCUCGAUUCUGACGCUGAGGAGCGAAAGCGUGGGGAGCAAACAGGAUUAGAUACCCCAGUAGUCC
This 274-nucleotide ribosomal RNA is filed under the name uncultured bacterium. RNAcentral's name for it is "partial 16S ribosomal RNA". It matches the Rfam family "Bacterial small subunit ribosomal RNA", at positions 523 to 796 of the family's 1533-position model. The record is from RNAcentral.